UACGUAGGGGGCAAGCGUUGUUCGGAAUUACUGGGCGUAAAGGGCGCGUAGGCGGCCGGCCAAGUCGGGAGUGAAAGCCCGGGGCUCAACCCCGGAAUGUCUUUCGAAACUGGCCAGCUGGAGUGCGGAAGAGGCAACUGGAAUUCCCAGUGUAGCGGUGAAAUGCGUAGAUAUUGGGAAGAACACCUGAGGCGAAGGCGGGUUGCUGGGCCGACACUGACGCUGAGGCGCGAAAGCCAGGGGAGCAAACGGG
This 253-nucleotide ribosomal RNA is filed under the name uncultured bacterium. Its description in RNAcentral is "partial 16S ribosomal RNA". It matches the Rfam family "Bacterial small subunit ribosomal RNA", at positions 524 to 776 of the family's 1533-position model. The record is from RNAcentral.